AGAAUAAAUGAGUGAAUCCUUUUAUCCUAUUUUUAUCAUAUCUCUUCUCUUUCAUUACUAUUCUCCAGCUCCCUUUAUUUAGGUUUCUGCUAUCUUGGACUGUUUUUCACAGACUUCUUGAUGUUGAGCUUGUUGGCUGGAGUCUUCUGAAUGUUAAUUCUGGGAUGUUAGAACAUUUACAAAUAGGUACUAAUGCGUUUUCACUUCUACUAUACGCAGAGUCUUGAAGUUGGCAGCUAAAUAUUUGGGGUCAUAGAAGAUUCGAGGUGGAAAACACUUAAGAGACAAUCACAUCCAUGCCUUCUGACUCUGGAAAUCCUCUGCUUCACACAGAGAGCAGUUGAAAACAUUAGGAAAGCUUAACCGAAAGAACAAACCCAGGGACUACAUUGAUCGUCUUAAGGAAUGAAUGAAUCUUUAUCCCAAAUGCAAAGCAGGCUUUAAUCCAAGGACAAUAAAUGGUGAGACCAGCAUUCCAGGAACAAUCAUGGGCUUUCUCUGUGUGCUCACAGUGAAAACAGUCCCACAGGGCUUCAAAGAGAUACGUGGACUUCUUUUUCUCUUCUUAAGUAAACAAAAUUAAGAGCGAAUAAGCACUUCCUACAGCUGUGGAUGCCAGAAUUUCUCCCUACCCUAUCCCAACCCUGACCCCAAACAAGGAGCCGCCAUCAUCUUUUCUGGCUUAAAGCAGUGUGCACACAGUGACCUUGAGGUUGAACAUGAAGCUAUCUGGGCGCCCCAUGUGAAAAGCAAGGUUGAAAUAUUCUCCAGGGCAAAAUGAACUUUCCUAACCCCCCUUGUACCUCACUGCUUUUUUUCCUAUUCUUUGAAAAUAAAUACAUGUGUCUUUGAACAAACCCUAAUAUUGAUCAUGUGU
Molecule: long non-coding RNA, 877 nt
Organism: Acinonyx jubatus (cheetah)
Lineage: Eukaryota; Metazoa; Chordata; Mammalia; Carnivora; Felidae
Exons: 3
Source: RefSeq, a predicted model, not a curated record